RNAcentral lists this ribosomal RNA (1510 nucleotides) under bioreactor metagenome. Its description in RNAcentral is "bacterial SSU rRNA". It matches the Rfam family "Bacterial small subunit ribosomal RNA". The record is from RNAcentral.
AGAGUUUGAUCCUGGCUCAGGAUGAACGCUAGCUACAGGCUUAACACAUGCAAGUCGAGGGGCAGCAUAAGAGUAGCUUGCUACUUUUGAUGGCGACCGGCGGAUGGGUGAGUAACGCGUAUCCAACCUGCCCCGCUCCCGGGGACAGCCCUUAGAAAUGAGGAUUAACCCCCGAUGUUGUGUUGAUGCCGCAUGGUGUUGCCACGAAAUGUGAAGGAGCGGGAUGGGGAUGCGUUCCAUUAGGCUGCAGGCGGGGUAACGGCCCACCUGGCCUUCGAUGGAUAGGGGUUCUGAGAGGAAGGUCCCCCACACUGGAACUGAGACACGGUCCAGACUCCUACGGGAGGCAGCAGUGAGGAAUAUUGGUCAAUGGGCGCAAGCCUGAACCAGCCAAGUAGCGUGCGGGAUGAAGGCCCUACGGGUUGUAAACCGCUUUUGCGCGGGGAUAAAGCGGGGGACGCGUCCCCCCUUGCAGGUACCGCGCGAAUAAGGACCGGCUAAUUCCGUGCCAGCAGCCGCGGUAAUACGGAAGGUCCGGGCGUUAUCCGGAUUUAUUGGGUUUAAAGGGAGCGCAGGCGGGAAGUCAAGUCAGCCGUGAAAUGUCCCGGCUCAACCGGGUCAUGCGGUUGAAACUGUCUUUCUUGGGUGCACAAGAGGCAGGCGGAACUCGUGGUGUAGCGGUGAAAUGCAUAGAUAUCACGAUGAACCCCGAUUGCGAAGGCAGCCUGCCGGGGUGUUACCGACGCUCAUGCUCGAAGGCGCGGGUAUCAAACAGGAUUAGAUACCCUGGUAGUCCGCGCGGUAAACGAUGGAUGCCCGCGGUGUGGCCUUUUGUGGUUGCGCCGCCAAGCGAAAGCGUUAAGCAUCCCACCUGGGGAGUACGCCGGCAACGGUGAAACUCAAAGGAAUUGACGGGGGCCCGCACAAGCGGAGGAACAUGUGGUUUAAUUCGAUGAUACGCGAGGAACCUUACCCGGGCUUGAAAUGCUACUGGCGGGGGAGAGAGACCUCCCCCUCCUUCGGGCAGUAGUGUAGGUGCUGCAUGGUUGUCGUCAGCUCGUGCCGUGAGGUGUCGGCUCAAGUGCCAUAACGAGCGCAACCCCUGUCCCCAGUUGCCGUCGGGUAGAGCCGGGCACUCUGUGGAUACUGCCGCCGCAAGGCGUGAGGAAGGUGGGGAUGACGUCAAAUCAGCACGGCCCUUACGUCCGGGGCCACACACGUGUUACAAUGGGGGGCACAGCGAGCUGGGUCAUGGCGACAUGUCCCGAAUCCUUAAAUCCCCUCCCAGUUCGGACAGGAGUCUGCAACCCGACUCCUCGAAGCUGGAUUCGCUAGUAAUCGCGCAUCAGCCAUGGCGCGGUGAAUACGUUCCCGGGCCUUGUACACACCGCCCGUCAAGCCAUGAAAGCCGGGGGCGCCUGAAGUCCGCAGCCGCAGAGGCGCGGCCUAGGGCGAUACUGGUGAUUGGGGCUAAGUCGUAACAAGGUAGCCGUACCGGAAGGUGCGGCUG